GUGGGGAAUAUUGGACAAUGGGCGAAAGCCUGAUCCAGCCAUGCCGCGUGUGUGAAGAAGGUCUUCGGAUUGUAAAGCACUUUAAGUUGGGAGGAAGGGCAGUAAGUUAAUACCUUGCUGUUUUGACGUUACCGACAGAAUAAGCACCGGCUAACUUCGUGCCAGCAGCCGCGGUAAUACGAAGGGUGAAAGCGUUAAUCGGAAUUACUGGGCGUAAAGCGCGCGUAGGUGGUUUUGUAAGUUGGAGGUGAAAUCCCCGGGCUCAACCUGGGAACUGCCUCCAAAACUGCAUGACUAGAGUACGGUAGAGGGUAGUGGAAUUUCCUGUGUAGCGGUUAAAUGCGUAGAUAUAGGAAGGAACACCAGUGGCGAAGGCGACUACCUGGACUGAUACUGACACUGAGGUGCGAAAGCGUGGGGAGCAAACAGGAUUAGAAACCCCUGUAGUCC
RNAcentral lists this ribosomal RNA (450 nucleotides) under uncultured bacterium. Its description in RNAcentral is "partial 16S ribosomal RNA". It matches the Rfam family "Bacterial small subunit ribosomal RNA", at positions 354 to 796 of the family's 1533-position model. The record is from RNAcentral.